GGAUGCAGUUUGAUUAAAGGAUUGAAUUGCACGGUAACUUGCCACUGAAGGGUAUUUUUGGUAUUUCUACCAAAUUUCAUAUUUUUCGGGUAGACAUGACACGUUGCUAGACGUCAAUCUUGUCUUAUAGGUUUGAUCGAAUUAAAGAGUUUAAUUCGAUCACCAAUUAGAAAGGAUUCUAAUUGUUAAGUUCAGGUUCGC
Molecule: long non-coding RNA, 201 nt
Filed under: Phoenix dactylifera (date palm)
Lineage: Eukaryota; Viridiplantae; Streptophyta; Magnoliopsida; Arecales; Arecaceae
Description: long non-coding RNA (PDAC_LNC008499)
Source: RNAcentral